This 460-nucleotide ribosomal RNA is filed under the name uncultured bacterium. Its description in RNAcentral is "partial 16S ribosomal RNA". It matches the Rfam family "Bacterial small subunit ribosomal RNA", at positions 338 to 795 of the family's 1533-position model. The record is from RNAcentral.
CCUACGGGUGGCAGCAGUGAGGAAUAUUGGUCAAUGGACGGAAGUCUGAACCAGCCAUGCCGCGUGCAGGAAGACGGCUCUAUGAGUUUUAAACUGCUUUUGUACAAGGGUAAACCUGAAUACGUGUAUUCUGCUGAAAGUACUGUACGAAUAAGGCUCGGCUAACUCCGUGCCAGCAGCCGCGGUAAUACGGAGGAUCCAAGCGUUAUCCGGAUUUAUUGGGCUUAAAGGGUGCGUAGGCGGUGUGAUAAGUUAGAGGUGAAAUGUCCGAGCUUAACUCGAGAACUGCCUAUAAUACUAUGGAACUAGAGUGUAGGUGAGGAAGGCGGAAUGUAUGGUGUAGCGGUGAAAUGCUUAGAGAUCAGACAGAACACCGAUUGCGAAGGCAGCUUACCAAUCUAUAUCUGACGUUGAGGCACGAAAGCGUGGGGAGCAAACAGGAUUAGAUACCCUUGUAGUC